This 1287-nucleotide ribosomal RNA is filed under the name metagenome. Its description in RNAcentral is "bacterial SSU rRNA". It matches the Rfam family "Bacterial small subunit ribosomal RNA", at positions 242 to 1520 of the family's 1533-position model. The record is from RNAcentral.
UAGCUAGUUGGUGAGGUAAAGGCUUACCAAGGCGACGAUCUGUAGCGGGUCUGAGAGGAUGAUCCGCCACACUGGAACUGAGACACGGUCCAGACUCCUACGGGAGGCAGCAGUGGGGAAUUUUGGACAAUGGGGGCAACCCUGAUCCAGCCAUGCCGCGUGAGUGAAGAAGGCCUUCGGGUUGUAAAGCUCUUUCGGCCGGGAAGAAAUCGCAUGGGCCAAUACCCUGUGUGGAUGACGGUACCGGAAUAAGAAGCACCGGCUAACUACGUGCCAGCAGCCGCGGUAAUACGUAGGGUGCGAGCGUUAAUCGGAAUUACUGGGCGUAAAGCGUGCGCAGGCGGUUUUGUAAGACAGGCGUGAAAUCCCCGGGCUUAACCUGGGAACUGCGUUUGUGACUGCAAGGCUAGAGUACGGCAGAGGGGGGUGGAGUUCCACGUGUAGCAGUGAAAUGCGUAGAGAUGUGGAGGAACACCAAUGGCGAAGGCAGCCCCCUGGGUCGAUACUGACGCUCAUGCACGAAAGCGUGGGUAGCAAACAGGAUUAGAUACCCUGGUAGUCCACGCCCUAAACUAUGUCAACUAGGUGUUGGGUGGGUAAAGCCAUUUAGUACCGUAGCUAACGCGUGAAGUUGACCGCCUGGGGAGUACGGCCGCAAGGUUAAAACUCAAAGGAAUUGACGGGGACCCGCACAAGCGGUGGAUGAUGUGGAUUAAUUCGAUGCAACGCGAAAAACCUUACCUACCCUUGACAUGCCAGGAACUUGCCAGAGAUGGCUUGGUGCCCGAAAGGGAGCCUGGACACAGGUGCUGCAUGGCUGUCGUCAGCUCGUGUCGUGAGAUGUUGGGUUAAGUCCCGCAACGAGCGCAACCCUUGUCGUUAAUUGCCAUCAUUUAGUUGGGCACUUUAACGAGACUGCCGGUGACAAACCGGAGGAAGGUGGGGAUGACGUCAAGUCCUCAUGGCCCUUAUGGGUAGGGCUUCACACGUCAUACAAUGGUCGGUACAAAGGGUUGCCAAGCCGCGAGGCGGAGCCAAUCCCAGAAAGCCGAUCGUAGUCCGGAUUGCAGGCUGCAACUCGCCUGCAUGAAGUCGGAAUCGCUAGUAAUCGUGGAUCAGCAUGUCACGGUGAAUACGUUCCCGGGUCUUGUACACACCGCCCGUCACACCAUGGGAGCGGGUUCCGCCAGAAGUAGGUAGCCUAACCGCAAGGGGGGCGCUUACCACGGCGGGGUUCGUGACUGGGGUGAAGUCGAAACAAGGUAGCCGUAGGGGAACCUGCGGCUG